This 506-nucleotide ribosomal RNA is filed under the name uncultured bacterium. RNAcentral describes it as "partial 16S ribosomal RNA". It matches the Rfam family "Bacterial small subunit ribosomal RNA", at positions 28 to 507 of the family's 1533-position model. The record is from RNAcentral.
GACGAACGCUGGCGGCGUGCUUAACACAUGCAAGUCGAACGGUGAAGGGACUGGUUUUGCUGGUCCUGGAUGAGUGGCGACCGGGUGAGUAACACGUGAGUAACCUGCCCCCUUCUUCUGGAUAACCGCAUGAAAGUGUGGCUAAUACGGGAUAUUCUGGGUCUGUCGCAUGGUGGGCCUGGGAAAGAUUGCGCCUUUUUUUGGGUUUUUUGUUGGGGGUGGGCUCGCGGCCUUUCAGCUUGUUUGUGGGGUGAUGGCCUACCAAGGCGGGGACGGGUUGCCGGCCUGAGAGGGUGGACGGUCACACUGGGACUGAGACACGGCCCAGACUCCUACGGGAGGCAGCAGUGGGGAAUAUUGAACAAUGGGCGCAAGCCUGAUGCAGCGACGCCGCGUGAGGGAUGGAGGCCUUCGGGUUGUGAACCUCUUUCGCCAGUGAAGCAGGCAUGCCUCUUUUUGUGGGUGGGUUGACGGUAGCUGGAGAAGAAGCGCCGGCUAACUACGUG